Molecule: ribosomal RNA, 486 nt
Filed under: uncultured Gordonia sp.
Lineage: Bacteria; Bacillati; Actinomycetota; Actinomycetes; Mycobacteriales; Gordoniaceae
Description: partial 16S ribosomal RNA
Source: RNAcentral
CACGUAGUUGGCCGGUGCUUCUUCUCCAGGUACCGUCACUUGCGCUUCGUCCCUGGCGAAAGAGGUUUACAACCCGAAGGCCGUCAUCCCUCACGCGGCGUCGCUGCAUCAGGCUUGCGCCCAUUGUGCAAUAUUCCCCACUGCUGCCUCCCGUAGGAGUCUGGGCCGUGUCUCAGUCCCAGUGUGGCCGAUCACCCUCUCAGGUCGGCUACCCGUCGUCGCCUUGGUAGGCCAUUACCCCACCAACAAGCUGAUAGGCCGCGGGCCCAUCCCAAACCGCAAAAGCUUUCCACCACCAACCAUGCGAUCAGUGGUCAUAUCCGGUAUUAGACCCAGUUUCCCAGGCUUAUCCCAGAGUUCAGGGCAGAUCACCCACGUGUUACUCACCCGUUCGCCACUCGAGUACCCCCGAAGGGGCCUUUCCGUUCGACUUGCAUGUGUUAAGCACGCCGCCAGCGUUCGUCCUGAGCCAGGAUCGAAACUACU